AGAGUUUGAUUAUGGCUCAGAACGUACGCUGGCGGCACGCCUAACACAUGCAAGUCGAACGAAGUAGCAAUACUUAGUGGCAGACGGGUGAGUAACAUGUAGGUAUCUACCCUUUGGCCUGGAAUAACACGAGGAAACUUGUGCUAAUACCGGAUAAGUCUUUACGGAGAAAGCUUUAUGCACCAUUGGAUGAGCCUGCACUUGAUUAGUUUGUUGGUAGGGUAAUGGCCUACCAAGACUAUGAUCAAUAGCUGAUUUGAGAGGAUGAUCAGCCACAUUGGGACUGAGACACGGCCCAAACUCCUACGGGAGGCAGCAGUGGGGAAUCUUGCACAAUGGAGGAAACUCUGAUGCAGCGAUGCCGCGUGAGUGAAGAAGGCCCUUGGGUUGUAAAGCUCUUUCGUCGGGGAAGAAAAUGACUGUACCCGAAUAAGAAGGUCCGGCUAACUUCGUGCCAGCAGCCGCGGUAAUACGAAGGGACCUAGCGUAGUUCGGAAUUACUGGGCUUAAAGAGUUCGUAGGUGGUUGAAAAAGUUGGUGGUGAAAUCCCAGAGCUUAACUCUGGAACUGCCAUCAAAACUUUUCAGCUAGAGUAUGAUAGAGGAAAGCAGAAUUUCUAGUGUAGAGGUGAAAUUCGUAGAUAUUAGAAAGAAUACCAAUUGCGAAGGCAGCUUUCUGGAUCAUUACUGACACUGAGGAACGAAAGCAUGGGUAGCGAAGAGGAUUAGAUACCCUCGUAGUCCAUGCCGUAAACGAUGUGUGUUAGACGUUGGAAAUUUAUUUUCAGUGUCGCAGCGAAAGCGAUAAACACACCGCCUGGGGAGUACGACCGCAAGGUUAAAACUCAAAUGAAUUGACGGGGACCCGCACAAGUAGUGGAGCAUGUGGUUUAAUUCGAAGAUACGCGCAGAACCUUACCAACACUUGACAUGUUCGUCGCGACUCUAAGAGAUUAGAGUUUUCGGUUCGGCCGGACGAAACACAGGUGCUGCAUGGCUGUCGUCAGCUCGUGUCGUGAGAUGUUGGGUUAAGUCCCGCAACGAGCGCAACCCUCACUUUUAGUUGCCAUCAUUAAGUUGGGCACUCUGAAAGAACUGCCAGUGAUAAGCUGGAGGAAGGUGGGGAUGACGUCAAGUCCUCAUGGCCCUUACGUGUUGGGCUACACACGUGCUACAAUGGUAUCUACAACAGGAAGCAAAACGGCAACGUUAAGCAAAUCCCGAAAAGAUACCUCAGUUCGGAUUGCACUCUGCAACUCGAGUGCAUGAAGCUGGAAUUACUAGUAAUCGUGGAUCAGCGUGCCACGGUGAAUGCGUUCCCGGGUCUUGUACACACCGCCCGUCACACCAUGGGAGUUGGUUCUACCUUAAGGCAAGGUUUUAAACCCUUGACCACGGUAUAGUCAGCGACUGGGGUGAAGUCGUAACAAGGUA
RNAcentral lists this ribosomal RNA (1433 nucleotides) under uncultured bacterium. RNAcentral's name for it is "bacterial SSU rRNA". It matches the Rfam family "Bacterial small subunit ribosomal RNA". The record is from RNAcentral.